UUAAAAGAAGUAAGCUUACUUUUCCCGAAAUAAAUGGAUCUAGUAAAUAAUAUUAUAUGUGUUUUAAAACAUAAUUUUAUUUUUUAUUAGGGGUGAAAGGCUUAUCAAUUUUUAGGAUAUCUGGAUUAAGUUAUAAUGUAUAUAGUACAGGCAUAAUGUUGGGUAGAUUUCUGUUAAGGGAAAAUUAUUUUUAGAAAACUAAGAUGACAUUUAUUUAAGAUAACUUUAAAGUAAUCUUACUUUAAAGUAGAUUUUUUUGUUUUUUUUCUUUUUAUAAAACUUUUAAAAAUUUUAAUUAAAAAAUUUUUUAAUAAUGUUAAAAUAAGUAUUACUAAGUAAAUUUUAUUAAGGAACUCGGCAAAAAUUUUAUUCAACUGUUUAUCAAAAACAUAGUUUUAUGUAUUCAUAUAAAAUGAAACCUGCCCAAUGAAAUUUUAAUGGCCGCAGUACUUUAACUGUGCUAAGGUAGCAUAAUAAUUUGGCUUUUAAUUAAAGUCUGGUAUGAAAGGAUUAAUGAAUAAGAACUGUCUUAUUUAAUUUUAAAAAAAUUACUUAAAAGGUGAAAAUUCCUUUAGUAAGCUAAUAGACGAGAAGACCCUAGGAGUUUAUAUUUUGUUGGGGCGACAUUUCAGUAAAAUAACCUAUUUAAAUAAUUUAACGACUAUAUUAAUUAUAAUUAAACUACCCUAGGGAUAACAGCAUAAUUUAAAAAAGAUUGUGACCUCGAUGUUGG
This 733-nucleotide ribosomal RNA is filed under the name Melloconcha rosacea. RNAcentral describes it as "partial large subunit ribosomal RNA". The stretch from base 372 to 517 matches the Rfam family "Bacterial large subunit ribosomal RNA", at positions 1797 to 2007 of the family's 2925-position model. Lineage: Eukaryota; Metazoa; Mollusca; Gastropoda; Stylommatophora; Helicarionidae. The record is from RNAcentral.